RNAcentral lists this ribosomal RNA (497 nucleotides) under uncultured bacterium. RNAcentral's name for it is "partial 16S ribosomal RNA". It matches the Rfam family "Bacterial small subunit ribosomal RNA", at positions 28 to 507 of the family's 1533-position model. The record is from RNAcentral.
GGUGAACGCUGGCGGCGUGCCUAAUACAUGCAAGUCGAGCGAACAGACGAGGAGCUUGCUCCUCUGACGUUAGCGGCGGACGGGUGAGUAACACGUGGAUAACCUACCUCUAAGUCGGGGAUAACUACGGGAGACAGGAGCUAAUACCGGAUAAUACAACGAACCGCAGGGAGCAAUAGUGAAAGACGGUUUUGCUGUCACAUAGAGAUGGAUCCGUGUCGCAUUAGCUAGUUGGUAAGGUAACGGCCUACCAAGGCUACGAUGCGUAGCCGACCUGAGAGGAUGAUCAGCCACACUGGAACUGAGACACGGUCCAGACUCCUACGGGAGGCAGCAGUGGGGAAUCUUGCACAAUGGGCGCAAGCCUGACCCAGCCAUGCCGCGUGGGUGAUGAAGGUCUUCGGGUCGUAAAGCUCUGUUGUUAGGAAAGAACAACUGUAUGUUAAUCUCUGCCCGUCUUGACGGUACCUAAUCAGUAAGCCACGGCUAACUUCGUG